Molecule: ribosomal RNA, 253 nt
Filed under: uncultured bacterium
Lineage: Bacteria
Description: partial 16S ribosomal RNA
Rfam family: Bacterial small subunit ribosomal RNA
Source: RNAcentral
CGUAGGGUGCAAGCGUUGUCCGGAAUUAUUGGGCGUAAAGAGCUCGUAGGCGGUUUGUCGCGUCUGCUGUGAAAACCCGAGGCUCAACCUCGGGCUUGCAGUGGGUACGGGCAGACUAGAGUGCGGUAGGGGAGAUUGGAAUUCCUGGUGUAGCGGUGGAAUGCGCAGAUAUCAGGAGGAACACCGAUGGCGAAGGCAGAUCUCUGGGCCGUAACUGACGCUGAGGAGCGAAAGCAUGGGAGCAAACAGGCUU